GACGUAGGGCGCGAGCGUUGUCCGGAAUUAUUGGGCGUAAAGAGCUCGUAGGCGGCUUGUUGCGUCGGCUGUGAAAAUCCGGGGCUCAACCCCGGACUUGCAGUGGGUACGGGCAGACUAGAGUGUGGUAGGGGAGACUGGAAUUCCUGGUGUAGCGGUGAAAUGCGCAGAUAUCGGGAAGAACACCCGUGGCGAAGGCGGCUCUCUGGGACGGUACUGACGCUGAGACGCGAAAGCGUGGGGAGCAAACAGG
Molecule: ribosomal RNA, 253 nt
Filed under: uncultured bacterium
Lineage: Bacteria
Description: partial 16S ribosomal RNA
Rfam family: Bacterial small subunit ribosomal RNA
Source: RNAcentral